Molecule: ribosomal RNA, 253 nt
Filed under: uncultured bacterium
Lineage: Bacteria
Description: partial 16S ribosomal RNA
Rfam family: Bacterial small subunit ribosomal RNA
Source: RNAcentral
UACGGAGGUGGCAAGCGUUGCUCGGAAUCACUGGGCGUAAAGGGCGCGUAGGCGGUGAGGUAAGUCGGGUGUGAAAUCCCUCGGCCCAACCGAGGAACUGCGCCCGAGACUGCUUCUCUUGAGUCCCGGAGAGGAAGAUGGAAUUCCCGGUGUAGCGGUGAAAUGUGUAGAGAUCGGGAGGAACACCGGUGGCGAAGGCGGUCUUCUGGACGGUGACUGACGCUGAGGCGCGAAAGCGUGGGGAGCAAACAGG